CGCACAAGCGGGGAGCAUGUGGUUUAAUUUGAAGCAACGGGAAGAACCUUACCAGGCCUUGACAUGCAGAGAACUUUCCAGAGAUGGAUUGGUGCCUUCGGGAACUCUGACACAGGUCUGCAUGGCUGUCGUCAGCUGUGUCGUGAGAUGUUGGGUUAAGUCCCGUAACGAGCGCAACCCUUGUCCUUAGUUACCAGCACGUUAAGGUGGGCACUCUAAGGAGACUGCCGGUGACAAACCGGAGGAAGGUGGGGAUGACGUCAAGUCAUCAUGGCCCUUACGGCCUGGGCUACACACGUGCUACAAUGGUCGGUACAAAGGGUUGCCAAGCCGCGAGGUGGAGCUAAUCCCAUAAAACCGAUCGUAGUCCGGAUCGCAGUCUGCAACUCGACUGCGUGAAGUCGGAAUCGCUAGUAAUCGUGAAUCAGAAUGUCACGGUGAAUACGUUCCCGGGCCUUGUACACACCGCCCGUCACACCAUGGGAGUGGGUUGCUCCAGAAGUAGCUAGUCUAACUUCGGGGGGACGGUUACCACGGAGUGAUUCAUGACUGGGGUGAAGUCGUAACAAGGUAGCCCGUAGGGGAAACCUUAAGU
This 595-nucleotide ribosomal RNA is filed under the name Pseudomonas sp. IND4. RNAcentral's name for it is "bacterial SSU rRNA". It matches the Rfam family "Bacterial small subunit ribosomal RNA", at positions 922 to 1533 of the family's 1533-position model. Lineage: Bacteria; Pseudomonadati; Pseudomonadota; Gammaproteobacteria; Pseudomonadales; Pseudomonadaceae. The record is from RNAcentral.